Molecule: small nuclear RNA, 109 nt
Organism: Mustela putorius furo (domestic ferret)
Lineage: Eukaryota; Metazoa; Chordata; Mammalia; Carnivora; Mustelidae
Source: Ensembl
GUACUCACUUUGGCAUCACAUAUAUUAGAAAACUGGAACUAUAUAGAAAAGAUCAGCAGGGCCUCUGCCCAAGGAUGACACAUAAGUAUAUGAAGUGUUCCAUAUUUUU